AACGAACGCUGGCGGCAGGCUUAACACAUGCAAGUCGAGCGCCCCGCCAGGGGAGCGGCCGACGGGUGGGUAACGCGUGGGGACGUACCUUUUGGUUCGGAACAACUCCGGGAAACUGGAGCUAAUACCGGAUAAGCCCUAACGGGGAAAGAUUUAUCGCCGAAGGAUCGGCCCGCGUCUGAUUAGCUAGUUGGUGAGGUAACGGCUCACCAAGGCGACGAUCAGUAGCUGGUCUGAGAGGAUGAUCAGCCACACUGGGACUGAGACACGGCCCAGACUCCUACGGGAGGGAGCAGAGGGGAAUAUUGGACAAUGGGCGCAAGCCUGAUCCAGCCAUGCCGGGUGAGUGAUGAAGGCGUUAGGGAUGUAAAGCUCUUUUGUCCGGGAAGAUAAUGACUGUACCGGAAGAAUAAGCCCCGGCUAACUUCGUG
RNAcentral lists this ribosomal RNA (431 nucleotides) under uncultured bacterium. Its description in RNAcentral is "partial 16S ribosomal RNA". It matches the Rfam family "Bacterial small subunit ribosomal RNA", at positions 29 to 507 of the family's 1533-position model. The record is from RNAcentral.